RNAcentral lists this long non-coding RNA (1243 nucleotides) under Nicotiana benthamiana. RNAcentral's name for it is "long non-coding RNA (NBEN_LNC021911)". Lineage: Eukaryota; Viridiplantae; Streptophyta; Magnoliopsida; Solanales; Solanaceae. The record is from RNAcentral.
ACGAAAUAAAAUGAAAAAGAUUCUAAUUUCAUGUCUUAAAUGAAAUGAGUGGACUAGAAUCGGCAGUAUUCUAAUAGAUAGAUAGUAUGGUAGAAAGAAGGAUUCAUCUAUUUAUGCCAUUAGGUGCUAAGUCUUAGUCUAAGGAAAUAUGGAACAGUCAUUGAAAAAUGUGAGUAGAAGCUAUCUAGAUGGAAAGCACAAUAUCUAGAAGAUUGACUCUGAUAAUCUGAUAAACUCUAUACUUGACUCACUUCCAACCUAUAUGAUAUCACUCUUUCCAAUCAAUGUAAGUAUCACUUAAGAGACUGGAUAGGUUCAGAAGAUCUUUCUUGUGGCAAGGAAACAAAGAAAGAGGGGUUUUCACUUAGUGAGAUGGAAACUUCUCAUUAAUGGUAAGAACAAAGGUGGGCUAGGUAUUAGGAACUUAAAGAAUCAAAGUAAGGCCAUGAAGAUGAAGUGGUUAUGGAGAUGCUCUCAAGACCCUCAAUCCCUUUCCCUAUGGAGUAAUGUCAUUAAAGCUAAAUAUGAAGAAGAAAACAACUGGGUCUCAAAGGAAGUCAACACAAUAUAUGGGGUUAGCUUAUAGAGAUCUAUCAGAACACUUUGGCCUGCAGUGAAGAGCCAAUCUUACGUCAGAGUGAAAAUGGUACCAAAACUUCCUUCUGGAAGGAUAAUUGGUUGGGAUCUGGAAGCUUGAUGGAACUAUUCCCUGAUAUGUAUGGUCUAGCUCGUCACAAACAAAAGACAAUUGCUGAAAUGUGGACUCCUCAAGGUUGUGAUCUAAUACUUAAAAGAGGGUUGAAUGACUGGGAACUAAGUAGGCUGAUUGAGCUCUACAAGCAAUUGGAAGUAUUCAAAGGCCUACAGAAUGGAAGGGAUACUUUUUGGUGGAAGGGCCACAAAAGUGGCAUAUAUAAGGUGAAUAAAGCAUACAAGAUGUUUAAUCUUACAAACAUAAGAUCACUAAUUGGCCAUGGAAACAUAUUUGGAAAGUCAAGAUACCUUACAAAGUAUCUUGCUUCACUUGGUUACUUGCAAAGGAGGCAGUUCUGACACAAGACUAUCUUAUGAAGAGGGGGAUCCCACUGUGCUUUAGGUGCUUUUUAGGGGGGAAACAGUUGAGAUAAUUUGCCAUCUAUUUCUACACUCAACAAUCUUAUGAAGAGGUGGAUCCCAUUGUGCUCUUGGUGCUUUUAUGUGGGGAAAAAGCUGAGACAAUUAGCCAUCUAUUUCUACAUUGCAG